UGCUUGCUAUUCGGCGUCGAGCGGCGGACGGGUGAGUAAUGCUUGGGAAUAUGCCUUUUGGUGGGGGACAACAGUUGGAAACGACUGCUAAUACCGCAUAAUGUUUACGGACCAAAGCGGGGGACCUUCGGGCCUCGUGCCAAAAGAUUAGCCCAAGUGAGAUUAGCUAGUUGGUGGGGUAAAGGCCUACCAAGGCGACGAUCUCUAGCUGGUUUGAGAGGAUGAUCAGCCACACUGGGACUGAGACACGGCCCAGACUCCUACGGGAGGCAGCAGUGGGGAAUAUUGCACAAUGGGGGAAACCCUGAUGCAGCCAUGCCGCGUGUGUGAAGAAGGCCUUCGGGUUGUAAAGCACUUUCAGUCGUGAGGAAAGGUUAGUAGGUAAUAUCUGCUAGCUGUGACGUUAGCGACAGAAGAAGCACCGGCUAACUCCGUGCCAGCAGCCGCGGUAAUACGGAGGGUGCGAGCGUUAAUCGGAAUUACUGGGCGUAAAGCGUGCGUAGGCGGUUUGAUAAGCCAGAUGUGUAAUCCCGGGGCUUAACCUCGGAACUGCAUUUGGAACUGUUUGACUAGAGUACUGUAGAGGGUGGUGGAAUUUCCAGUGUAGCGGUGAAAUGCGUAGAGAUUGGAAGGAACAUCAGUGGCGAAGGCGGCCACCUGGACAGAUACUGACGCUGAGGCACGAAAGCGUGGGGAGCGAACAGGAUUAGAUACCCUGGUAGUCCACGCCGUAAACGAUGUCAACUAGCCGUUUGUGGUUUUAAACCGUGAGUGGCGUAGCUAACGCGCUAAGUUGACCGCCUGGGGAGUACGGUCGCAAG
RNAcentral lists this ribosomal RNA (821 nucleotides) under uncultured bacterium. RNAcentral describes it as "bacterial SSU rRNA". It matches the Rfam family "Bacterial small subunit ribosomal RNA", at positions 73 to 892 of the family's 1533-position model. The record is from RNAcentral.